Non-coding RNA from Malassezia vespertilionis, 93 nucleotides. Lineage: Eukaryota; Fungi; Basidiomycota; Malasseziomycetes; Malasseziales; Malasseziaceae. The record is from the annotation of a RefSeq genome assembly.
AGUCCAAUAGUUUAACGGUCAUGACGUAUCCUUCACAAUCCGUGGACACAGUCCCGCACGGAUAAGAUCCCGGUUCGAUUCCGGGUUGGACUA